UACGGGGGGGGUAAGCGUUGUUCGGAAUUACUGGGCGUAAAGGGCUCGUAGGCGGCCAACUAAGUCGGAUGUGAAAGCCCCUGGCUCAACUGGGGAAGUGCACCCGAAACUGAGUGGCUUGAGUGCGAAAGAGGGUCGCGGAAUUCCCGGUGUAGAGGUGAAAUUCGUAGAUAUCGGGAGGAACACCGGUGGCGAAGGCGGCGACCUGGGUCGACACUGACGCUGAGGCGCGAAAGCGUGGGGAGCAAACAGG
This 253-nucleotide ribosomal RNA is filed under the name uncultured bacterium. Its description in RNAcentral is "partial 16S ribosomal RNA". It matches the Rfam family "Bacterial small subunit ribosomal RNA", at positions 524 to 776 of the family's 1533-position model. The record is from RNAcentral.